GAUGAACGCUGGCGGCGUGCCUAAUACAUGCAAGUCGAGCGAACGGACGAGAAGCUUGCUUCUCUGAUGUUAGCGGCGGACGGGUGAGUAACACGUGGAUAACCUACCUAUAAGACUGGGAUAACUUCGGGAAACCGGAGCUAAUACCGGCUGAUAUUUUGAACCGCAUGGUUCAAAAGUGAAAGACGGUCUUGCCGUCACUUAUAGAUGGAUCCGCGCUGCAUUAGCUAGUUGGUAAGGUAACGGCUUACCAAGGCAACGAUGCAUAGCCGACCUGAGAGGGUGAUCGGCCACACUGGAACUGAGACACGGUCCAGACUCCUACGGGAGGCAGCAGUAGGGAAUCUUCCGCAAUGGGCGAAAGCCUGACGGAGCAACGCCGCGUGAGUGAUGAAGGUCUUCGGAUCGUAAAACUCUGUUAUUGGGGAAGAACAUAUGUGUAAGUAACUGUGCACAUCUUGACGGUACCUAAUCAGAAAGCCACGGCUAACUACGUG
This 497-nucleotide ribosomal RNA is filed under the name uncultured bacterium. Its description in RNAcentral is "partial 16S ribosomal RNA". It matches the Rfam family "Bacterial small subunit ribosomal RNA", at positions 28 to 507 of the family's 1533-position model. The record is from RNAcentral.